RNAcentral lists this long non-coding RNA (1148 nucleotides) under Homo sapiens (human). Its description in RNAcentral is "HSALNT0322130". Lineage: Eukaryota; Metazoa; Chordata; Mammalia; Primates; Hominidae. The record is from RNAcentral.
CUGCAUAGGGUGUGACUAUCAGGAACCAUGGCUCACUGGAGCACCAUCUUUGGAGUCUAGCUAACACAGCAUCUUGGAUGCACUCCUAAGAGAAGACUACCUGAAAGGCGUGUACACUGGUCUAGCAGUUGAGAUCAGCUAGUGUUCCAUCUAUCUUCUGUCAUGUAUCUCUUCUAAGAUGUCUUGAUCGACUGACCCCAAAGCCAGAGGGUACCAGGUCAAAAAGCAAGAAAACAAACAAUACUGACAUUAGAGAGAAGCAAAGUUUCUAUAGAAAACCUAUUACACUGUGGUAUAAAUCAAGAUGAACCUGCAGACAUCUAUUUUAGUUUGGAAGUCUGGAAAAGUUCAAGAUUGGCCAUCUGCAGCUGGUGAGAGCCUCAGGCUGCUUCCCCUCAUGGUGGAAGGUGAAGGGGAGCUGGUGUGUGCAGAGAUUACAUGCUUUUCUAGGUCAUCAUUCUAGGCUUUGUUGAAGCAUGCAUUUUUGGCAUGAGGGUGGCAGCCUUUGCACUAUGUGCAUGGCUGAGGAGUUAGGAUCUGGAGGGUGAUGAAAGCAAAGGUGCUGCUGGUUACUCUUGGUUCAUCUAGCAAUAGAUGAUCUGAAUGUUAGAGUUCGCCAAAUAUUGUUCCUGGGCAGUCUUUGCUCUACCAAAUCAACUUUCUCCAUGGGGGAGCUAGAAGUCACCCCACAUUCUCCGCCAUGGCCAGCUCUACAUUCUAAGAGAACCAAUGGCUCUACCCAACAUAUUCUUCUCACCACAGAUGACAAAGACACAAGGAGCCAAGACAGAUCAUUCAAGCAUAUUCAUUGCCUCUAUCUUCAUCCCAUUAAAUAACAUCCCGCCAACCAAAGCAAGUUAUCUGCAUAAGAAUAAAUAUUCCACCUACUCUACUGCAAGGCCCUGCAAGAGUCAUGAGACAAAAGGAUCCUCUGUGGACAGCACCCAAGAUGGAAACAACUGACAGUCUAUGGCCAGGGCUAUACUCUGGUGAAACUGAAAGGUGUCUGCAUGGAAGUGUCUGACUACCACCAUCCACUCAGGCAAAUGCAUUUGUUUCCCUCUAUUCAUUAUUAGAAGAGAGGAGAUUACAUACCAGACAUAUACCAAUAGAGAUGGGGUUUCAUCAUGUUGACCAGGCUGGUCUUG